AAGUACAGACAGCCCAGAGCUGAGGCACUCGGUCGCCCCUCCUAUACAGAAAUAGCGCGACUACAUCGGUUUAACAGUCCGGAAACCUGCUCGAUUCGGCGGCAGGGCGCAGAAUAACGAAUAACAGCGUAUCAUUCAAAUGCGAACAUUUCCCACAACAGCAACACUCAUCUCGUCUUGUAUGGCCCACACCAGUUCGUGUAUCAGAUCAACAGUCUAUUAAAAUAAGUCCGAUCCUAAGAUGCCCAGGGACAACAUGCGGGAGAAAAAAACAUCUGCAGGAUUCCAGUACAAAACACCACCAAGGCCACACUGGGUAUUCUACCUAAAUUAAAGAUGCUAAGAAACAACACCACUGUCGCCAUCACUUCCUUUACCUCUUAAAUCAUUCUUAAGGCAGGUUGAAGACUUC
Polypterus senegalus (gray bichir) is the source of this 412-nucleotide long non-coding RNA. RefSeq lists it as uncharacterized. NCBI's taxonomy places the organism in Eukaryota, Metazoa, Chordata, Cladistia, Polypteriformes, Polypteridae. The record is from RefSeq and is a predicted model, not a curated record. The transcript has 3 exons.